This is a non-coding RNA of Aegilops tauschii subsp. strangulata, 146 nucleotides long. The record is from RefSeq and is a predicted model, not a curated record. Lineage: Eukaryota; Viridiplantae; Streptophyta; Magnoliopsida; Poales; Poaceae.
GUGAGGGGCUUCUUGGAGAGACGAGUACGAGGCUUGUGAUGAUUUUUCUAUGGUUUUGCAGACAUCACAAAAUGGCUGCAAAAAAAUUCUUCAAAAGGAACCUUUAUCAUCUCUACCGCAUGAGUUUGAAAACGAAAUUAUGAAAG